AUAAUGGGUCAGCGACUUAUAUUCUGUAGCAAGGUUAACCGAAUAGGGGAGCCGAAGGGAAACCGAGUCUUAACUGGGCGUUAAGUUGCAGGGUAUAGACCCGAAACCCGGUGAUCUAGCCAUGGGCAGGUUGAAGGUUGGGUAACACUAACUGGAGGACCGAACCGACUAAUGUUGAAAAAUUAGCGGAUGACUUGUGGCUGGGGGUGAAAGGCCAAUCAAACCGGGAGAUAGCUGGUUCUCCCCGAAAGCUAUUUAGGUAGCGCCUCGUGAAUUCAUCUCCGGGGGUAGAGCACUGUUUCGGCAAGGGGGUCAUCCCGACUUACCAACCCGAUGCAAACUGCGAAUACCGGAGAAUGUUAUCACGGGAGACACACGGCGGGUGCUAACGUCCGUCGUGAAGAGGGAAACAACCCAGACCGCCAGCUAAGGUCCCAAAGUCAUGGUUAAGUGGGAAACGAUGUGGGAAGGCCCAGACAGCCAGGAUGUUGGCUUAGAAGCAGCCAUCAUUUAAAGAAAGCGUAAUAGCUCACUGGUCGAGUCGGCCUGCGCGGAAGAUGUAACGGGGCUAAACCAUGCACCGAAGCUGCGGCAGCGACGCUGAUGCGUUGUUGGGUAGGGGAGCGUUCUGUAAGCCUGUGAAGGUGUGCUGUGAGGCAUGCUGGAGGUAUCAGAAGUGCGAAUGCUGACAUAAGUAACGAUAAAGCGGGUGAAAAGCCCGCUCGCCGGAAGACCAAGGGUUCCUGUCCAACGUUAAUCGGGGCAGGGUGAGUCGACCCCUAAGGCGAGGCCGAAAGGCGUAGUCGAUGGGAAACAGGUUAAUAUUCCUGUACUUGGUGUUACUGCGAAGGGGGGACGGAGAAGGCUAUGUUGGCCGGGCGACGGUUGUCCCGGUUUAAGCGUGUAGGCUGGUUUUCCAGGCAAAUCCGGAAAAUCAAGGCUGAGGCGUGAUGACGAGGCACUACGGUGCUGAAGCAACAAAUGCCCUGCUUCCAGGAAAAGCCUCUAAGCAUCAGGUAACAUCAAAUCGUACCCCAAACCGACACAGGUGGUCAGGUAGAGAAUACCAAGGCGCUUGAGAGAACUCGGGUGAAGGAACUAGGCAAAAUGGUGCCGUAACUUCGGGAGAAGGCACGCUGAUAUGUAGGUGAAGUCCCUCGCGGAUGGAGCUGAAAUCAGUCGAAGAUACCAGCUGGCUGCAACUGUUUAUUAAAAACACAGCACUGUGCAAACACGAAAGUGGACGUAUACGGUGUGACGCCUGCCCGGUGCCGGAAGGUUAAUUGAUGGGGUCAGCGCAAGCGAAGCUCUUGAUCGAAGCCCCGGUAAACGGCGGCCGUAACUAUAACGGUCCUAAGGUAGCGAAAUUCCUUGUCGGGUAAGUUCCGACCUGCACGAAUGGCGUAAUGAUGGCCAGGCUGUCUCCACCCGAGACUCAGUGAAAUUGAACUCGCUGUGAAGAUGCAGUGUACCCGCGGCAAGACGGAAAGACCCCGUGAACCUUUACUAUAGCUUGACACUGAACAUUGAGCCUUGAUGUGUAGGAUAGGUGGGAGGCUUUGAAGUGUGGACGCCAGUCUGCAUGGAGCCGGCCUUGAAAUACCACCCUU
This 1610-nucleotide ribosomal RNA is filed under the name Escherichia coli. RNAcentral's name for it is "partial 23S ribosomal RNA". It matches the Rfam family "Bacterial large subunit ribosomal RNA", at positions 612 to 2207 of the family's 2925-position model. RNAcentral also lists the same sequence under 1 other name. Lineage: Bacteria; Pseudomonadati; Pseudomonadota; Gammaproteobacteria; Enterobacterales; Enterobacteriaceae. The record is from RNAcentral.